This 253-nucleotide ribosomal RNA is filed under the name uncultured bacterium. Its description in RNAcentral is "partial 16S ribosomal RNA". It matches the Rfam family "Bacterial small subunit ribosomal RNA", at positions 524 to 776 of the family's 1533-position model. The record is from RNAcentral.
UACGUAGGGUGCAAGCGUUGUCCGGAAUUACUGGGUGUAAAGGGUCCGCAGGCGGGCAAGCAAGUCGGUGGUGAAAGUUCACGGCUCAACCGUGAAAUUGCCUUCGAUACUGCUUGUCUUGAGUUCGAGAGAGGAUAAUGGAAUUCAUGGUGUAGCGGUGAAAUGUGUAGAGAUCAUGAAGAACACCAGUAGCGAAGGCGGUUAUCUGGCUCGAUACUGACGCUCAGGGACGAAAGCAUGGGUAGCAAACAGG